Homo sapiens (human) is the source of this 2031-nucleotide long non-coding RNA. Ensembl annotates it as NUP50 divergent transcript. Its record names the gene NUP50-DT. The record is from Ensembl. NCBI's taxonomy places the organism in Eukaryota, Metazoa, Chordata, Mammalia, Primates, Hominidae.
GCAGCGAGUGUUUUCUUGUACAUACAUCCUUGCGGAAGUGUUUGGGUAUAUACCUACGGUAGAGUUCCUUGGUUAUGUGGUACCAGCAUCUUCACCUACCAACUCUGUCCAAAUGGUUACCCCAAGUGUUUGUAUGACCCUGUCAGUAUGUGCGAGGGUUUUUUACUCCACAUUUCCUCCCAAACUUUUUUUUUUUUUUUUUUGACAGAGUCUGGCUCUGUCGCCCAGGCUAAAGUGCAGUGGUGUAUUCGCGGCUCACUGCAACCUCCGCCUGCUGGGUUCAAGCGAUUCUCCCGCCUCAGCCUCCCGAGUAGCUGGAAUUACAGGUGCAUGCCACCACGCCCAGCAAAUUUUUUUAUUUUAGUAGAGAUGAGGUUUCACCAUGUUGUCCAGGCUGGUCUCGAACUCCUGACCUCAAGUGAUCCGCCCACCUCGGCCUCCCAAAGUGCUGGGAUUACAGGCGUGAGUCACUGUGCCCAGCCUCCCUGGAAACUUCAUUGUGUUCAAUUUAAGUUUUUCCUUUCUCCUAGGUAUAAAAGAGAACCUCAUCAUUUUCAUUUGCAUUUCCUUGAUUACCGAUGAGGUUGAUUUUCUUGGUCUUUUGUUCCUUCUUCUGUCAAAUGCUUAUUUAAAUUUUCCCCAAUUUUUCUACUGGAGUUUUUGGCCCUUAUUAUAUAGACAUAUAUGGAUUAUUAUAUAUACAUAUAUUAUGUAUUAGUUAUGUGGUAUAUAUCUUAUAUAUAUAUGAUAUAUAUCAUAUAUAUACAUAUAUGAUAUAUAUCAUAUAUAUGGUAUGUAUGUAUGUAUAAUUUUUUUAAAGAUUUUUUUUUUUUUUUAAUAGAGACGAGGUCUCACUAUGUUGGCCAGGUUGGUCUCGAAUUCCUGGCCGCAAGCCGUUCUCCAGUCUGGGCCUCCCAAAGUGCUAGGAUUACAGGAACAGAAUUGCCAUUGGGCCCAGGGAGAGACUACACUUCUUGUCUGCUUUGUUGCUAGUGCGGCCUUGUGGCCAAGCACAGAACGUGUGCAGUGAUGAUGGUGCAACUUCUAGGUCGUCCCCAGCAUGGAAAAUGAGCCCUGGGCAUGGAAGAUGAGCCCUGGUCCUGCAGCGGUGCUCUUUCCUCUUCUCACAAGCUGGAAUGUGCAUGUGCUCCCACCCAGCUUUGACCAUGGGGCGAAAACAGUACUCUGCAGUCUGGCAGAGCAACAAGGUGGAAAGGGCCUGGGUCCUUGAGUGACGUCAUGAGCCCUCUCACUGUCCCGACUUUGGGACUGUUAUAUGAUAAGGACUUUCUGUGAGUCACUGUCUUUUAGAGUCUCUCUGUUUUAGCUGCCUGGACUUUAUCCUGAAUAAUAUGGCUGUUAUCAUGGGUAUAGUGUUACUAUGAGCCUCAUCUAAGUAAUUUCUACUCUGCCUUUGACCACUAAACUCAUGUUGGACAAGAGUCACUUAGCAUUAUUUUUUCCUCAAUGAAGAGGUUAAGAUGGAGGGAGCAGGAGAAAUUGAGGCCUGUGUUUUACCAGAAGGUGAAGGGCUGUCUUUGCCUUUCCUACAUUUAUGAAGGAUAAUUCUAGACAAAAACAUUAAGUUCAUAUCAAACCAUCUGCUUUGUGAAGCCAUGGGCUUUGCUAGAACUUUCUGUGACAUGACAUUUAUUAACCCGAGUCUACCUGGAAGUUAGAGCUGAGGAAGUUUUCCUAGAGUGGAAAAAGUCCAAUGCACUUGUAAAAGUCAGACCAAGCUCAGCUCAGAUUUCAGUUUUAUUAGAAGUAUGUCACCUUCCUGAGCCCUUAUUAUUUCCCCAUCUGUGAAAUGAGGACACCGUUCUCUCUUUCUAAGCAUUGCUGGGAAGACCACACACCACUGAGACAGAAGGUGGGGCUAGCGCAGUUCUGGGCAUUUUGUACACCCCCAACAAAUACUGAUUUAUUUCCUUCUUUUUCCUUGCUCAGAAAAAAUUGGAGAAGGCUUUAUUUUAAAAUUCUGCCUGAAUUACUUUAUUUUAUUUAUUUAUUUAUUUAUUUUUUGGAGAC